Molecule: long non-coding RNA, 863 nt
Filed under: Olea europaea subsp. europaea
Lineage: Eukaryota; Viridiplantae; Streptophyta; Magnoliopsida; Lamiales; Oleaceae
Source: RNAcentral
UUUUGUUUGAAGUUACAAAGGUUUCCUUCUUACACUGCCUCAAUGCAUAGUUCUGAUCAAGAACAGAAACAAAAAUCUUCCCACCAUUUUCUUUUAUAUAUUAUCUAUGUAUUACCAAGAAAUAUCUAGUGCUCAACAGAAAUCAAUUAAUUUACAUGAGUUAUUCAAAAAUGGAAUUUUGGUAAUUUUGCAGGUUAGCUACACCAUUUGCAUCUUCUCCCCCUUCUGCAGGAGCGUUUCCUUCUUCUUCUAUAGCUUCUUCAGCAACAGCUGAGUCUUCGCCUUGCACCACAUCUUGUAUCUGUUGAAAACCACCAGCAGCAGAAGCACAGCCUGGAUUCAGAUAGAGGACUCCUCAGCCCUGAAUGAUGGAGGUGGAAAUGCUACUUUCCGUCCACGAUUAGGAUGUGAUAGCAUGUGGCUAAAUAAACAUUGAAGAGCUUGAGACGACUUGGCUUGGAAGAUGAAGAUAUCAUUGAUGUUAAGGCUCGUCAAAGUAGAGGUUGCCAGCUAGAUGGCAUCAACAACACAUCGAAAUAUGGUUCAUCAUUGAGUACCUUUAAGUAAAUGCUUAGCCUCCCGUUUAAAAGUUACUUAGCCUCUGUUUAAAAAUAUUUUUUUUAAACGGUUUAAUUUAUAAAUAAAUAGAAAUGAGUGGCGGGUAAGUUGAUAGUACUUGUAAGUCCAAUGGAAUAUGUGGUUGAAAAUGAAAUUUGACAAUUUACAAAUUAGCAAAACAGAGACUUAAUUUAGAUGUUUAUUGUAGAUUGCCUAACAAGGAAAGUCUGAAGCACUGGUCAGUUUAGCAAAAUAAAUUUUACAAAAUUAUUUUUCCCAUUAUAUUGAACCAAAUGUCAUUCAUG